UUAUAUGCUUGUCUCAAAGACUAAGCCAUGCAUGUCUAAGUACACACUCUAGCACAGUGAAACUGCGAAUGGCUCAUUAGAACAGUUGUAAUUCACCAGGCGAUACCAGUUACUUGGAUAACUGUGGCAAUUCUAGAGCUAAUACAUGCACUAUGUCCUGACGCGCGGUGACCCUCGCGGGACGCCAAGCGAAGGGACGCAUUUAUCAGACUGAACUAAGCGCGGUGCAAAUCGCGUCCACUUCGGUGACUCUGGAUAACUUUGCCGAUCGAACGGUCCUCGUGGCCGUCGACGCGCCUGUCAAGCGUCUGCCCUAUCAACUUUCGAUGGUAGAUUAAAUGCCUACCAUGGUUGUAACGGGUGACGGGGAAUCAGGGUUCGAUUCCGGAGAGGGAGCCUGAGAAAUAGCUACCACAUCCAAGGAAGGCAGCAGGCGCGUAAAUUACCCAAUCCCGACACGGGGAGGUAGUGACGAAAAAUAUCAGUGCGGGCUUCGGUCGAGGUCUCGUCACUGGAAUGGACGUGCCAUAAAACAGCACGUGAGGAUCCAUUGAAGGGCAAGUCUGGUGCCAGCAGCCGCGGUAAUUCCAGCUUCAAUAGCCUAUAUUAAAGUUGCUGUGGUUAAAAAGCUCGUAGUUGGAUUUAGAGUUUCCCAGAGACCGUCCAUUGGUUCGUCCGCCUAAAGGGGUUCCCUGGUGGUGGGCUAAAUGCCGCGGGCAACGUCGCGGGACUCUAGUCCCUGACCUCGGGUCCUCGCCUCUUAGGACGCGAUGGACCGCGUGGGCAGGGAAGUUUACUUUGAAAAAAUUAGAGUGAUCAAAGCAGGUCUAACCAAAGCCUGAAUAGCUGUUCAUGGAAUAAUGAAACAGGGCCCCAGGUCCAGAAACUGUAGAUACCGCAGGACCGAAUGGGUGCAAUGGUUAAUAGGAGCGGAACGGGGGCAUUCGUAUUGCGUGGGGAGAGGUGAAAUUCUUGGAUCCUCGCAAGACGAUCAGCGGCGAAAGCGAUUGCCAAGUACGUUUCCGUUAACCAAGAACGAAAGUCGGAGGUUCGAAGACGAUUAGAUACCGUCGUAGUUUCGACCGUAAACUAUGCCAGUCUGCAGCCCGUCCGAGUCGGUCACGAUAUACUGUGAAAGAGACCCGGCGGGAGGCAUGUGGGAAACCAGAAAAGCCGGUUCCAGGGGAAGUAUGGUUGCAAAGCUGAAACUUAAAGGAAUUGACGGAAGGGCACCACAAGGAGUGGGACCUGCGGCUCAAUUUGACUCAACACGGGAAAACUCACUCGGUCCGGACACUGAGAGGAUUGACAGAUUAAAGCUCUUUCUUGAUUCAGUGGGUGGUGGUGCAUGGCCGUUCUUAGUUCGUGGAGCGAUCUGUCUGGUUAAUUCCGAUAACGAACGAGACUCUAGCCUACUAAAUAAGUUCGCCGACAGCUAGUAUGUCCAAGCGUACGCCCGUGAGGUACCCCUGGUCGCAAGGAGACCUUCCCUUAGCGGGGCGGGCUCGGAGGGGCCAGGCUCGCGAGGCGAAACUUCUUAGAGGGACUGGUGGCAAUGUAAGCCACAGGAAGUAGAGCAAUAACAGGUCUGUGAUGCCCUUAGAUGUCCGAGGCCGCACGCGCGUCACAAUGGAAGAGUCAACGUGGACACCCCCGUGCUCCGAGAGGAGUUGCGAAAACCCAUGAAACUCUUUCUUAGUUGGGAUUGUGGAUUGUAACGGUCCACAUGAACGUGGAAUUCCUCGUAAUCGUCAGUCAUCAACUGGCGCUGAAUAAGUCCCUGGCCUUUGUACACACCGCCCGUCGCUACUUCCGACGAAUGGCCUAGUGAGGCUUUCGGACCGGAAAGCAGGGUCGACUGUCUGUCUCCCUGUAAGUACGAGAAGUUGGCCAAACUUGAUCGUUUGAAGGAAGUAAAAGUCGUAACAAGGUUUCC
This 1936-nucleotide ribosomal RNA is filed under the name Montfortista oldhamiana. RNAcentral's name for it is "SSU rRNA". It matches the Rfam family "Eukaryotic small subunit ribosomal RNA". Lineage: Eukaryota; Metazoa; Mollusca; Gastropoda; Lepetellida; Fissurellidae. The record is from RNAcentral.